CCAACGCCGGUGUACUCGCUGUGAAUGG
RNAcentral lists this small RNA (28 nucleotides) under Bombyx mori (domestic silkworm). Its description in RNAcentral is "ovarian small RNA-4747". The record is from RNAcentral. Lineage: Eukaryota; Metazoa; Arthropoda; Insecta; Lepidoptera; Bombycidae.